Panicum virgatum (switchgrass) is the source of this 299-nucleotide long non-coding RNA. RefSeq lists it as uncharacterized. The transcript has 2 exons. The record is from RefSeq and is a predicted model, not a curated record. NCBI's taxonomy places the organism in Eukaryota, Viridiplantae, Streptophyta, Magnoliopsida, Poales, Poaceae.
UGAUAGCACAAAAAAGGCUCCAUCUACAUGGAUCUCCUUUACAGCAGGUCAAAAUUUUCAGGUGUUAAACUUUUUAGGUUUGUGUCAAAAUUUUUAGAUGUAUUUUUUUGCUUGUUAUCAGCCCAAAAAAUAUACCUCUAAAUGUUUGCUUUUCAAGAUAUUUUUUUCUUAUUAUCAGCCAAAAAUUGUACAUGUAAAUAUUUUUUUUCUUGUUAUCAACCCAGAAAAUGUACCUGUAAAUGUAUUUUCAUAUGUAAUUGUACCCAGAAAUGAUUUUUUGUUUGUUAUCAGCCUAGAAA